CCUAAUUGUUACUGUAAGUCGCUCUUGAUAAGAGCGUCUGCUAAAUGACUAAAA
This is a non-coding RNA of Salmo salar (Atlantic salmon), 54 nucleotides long. The record is from Rfam. Lineage: Eukaryota; Metazoa; Chordata; Actinopteri; Salmoniformes; Salmonidae.